GGAUCCGGCUCAGUGGUAGAGUACUUGCCUAGCAUGCCUGAUGCCCUGGGUUAGAUCCCCAGUACUCA
RNAcentral lists this transfer RNA (68 nucleotides) under Marmota monax (woodchuck). RNAcentral's name for it is "tRNA.Ala". Lineage: Eukaryota; Metazoa; Chordata; Mammalia; Rodentia; Sciuridae. The record is from RNAcentral.